This 263-nucleotide ribosomal RNA is filed under the name uncultured bacterium. Its description in RNAcentral is "partial 16S ribosomal RNA". It matches the Rfam family "Bacterial small subunit ribosomal RNA", at positions 793 to 1055 of the family's 1533-position model. The record is from RNAcentral.
GUCCACGCCGUAAACGGUGGGCACUAGGUGUGGGAUUCACUCAACGGAUUCCGUGCCGCAGCUAACGCAUUAAGUGCCCCGCCUGGGGAGUACGGCCGCAAGGCUAAAACUCAAAAGGAAUUGACGGGGGCCCCGCACAAGCGGCGGAGCAUGUUGCUUAAUUCGAGGCAACGCGAAGAACCUUACCUAGGUUUGACAUGUACGGAAAGCUACAGAGAUGUGGUGUCCUUCGGGGCCGUACACAGGUGGUGCAUGGCUGUCGU